Molecule: long non-coding RNA, 3008 nt
Organism: Coregonus clupeaformis (lake whitefish)
Lineage: Eukaryota; Metazoa; Chordata; Actinopteri; Salmoniformes; Salmonidae
Exons: 2
Source: RefSeq, a predicted model, not a curated record
CAGUCUACAAAUUAUUUUCCGGCCCCCUGACCAUCCGCUCAGGAAAUAAAUUGUCCAGCGGCUGAAUCUAGUUGAUCAUCCCUGUUCUAGUGUCUUGUAUUAAAACAUGAACCACCCUGAAACACUAUCAAUAUGGUCUUAAAAUGUAUGUUUUUGUGUGUGUGUUGAAAUAAAGUUGGCCAUUUUAAACCUAUGUGCUCCAUCUAUGGAGUGUUUGGUCUUCCACUGACCACUGUACUGUCGGUCAACUGUAGGCCAAAUGCACUGCUAUCCUAAUUUGUGCGGACCCCCUUCUUGGGGUGUAGGGUGAAGUUGCCCCUAGAUACUGAUCUUGGGUCAGUUUUGUAUUUCUCCCAUUAAUUAUUAAGGUUAGGAUUGGGGGAGAGGGAGUGGAUCCUAGAUCUGUUCCUAGGGGAAACUUCACCCCGGAGCUUCCCUUGGUCUUAAUCAAUGGUUUUGGACUACCAUUUUAGGAAAUGAACAAUGCUACAUCUUUCCACCAGGUGGCCUCAGCAUCUCACAAACCUCUACAAAGGCAACACCCCAAGGUUGUCCCAUCACUGUGAUUGAGGGUGCACACUAGGGCUGGGGUGCGUUAAGCAGGACGCAAAAUAGAUAGAAAUAGGCUAUGUAGAACCAACAUGCCUCUCUGAAAUGUAGAAUAAGGAAUCACAUCAGCUCUAUUCAUGGCAUUUCUAUCUGCAACAUUAAAAGCAUAUUUGUCAUUCAUCCCAUUGUGUGUGUGUUUAACAGGAAGUCCAAACUUGUAAGAAAGAGACCGAAAGCAGCUCUUUCACGAUAAUAAAAAAUAUCGUUUUUACUAAAGAAGGUUACAAAAAUCAUCACUAUACAGGAGUCAUAUAACUAUUUAAAACGUUUAAAAGAAAAACAACUACAGGGACUACAAUGUCAUCAAGGUACAAUGGAUAUCUUUUUAAAAAAGAGAGUUGAGUGGGGGCAAACACUGCCUACCAUAGUUGUCAGUACAAUUGACUACACAUCACCUGAAAAACUGCAAAGACACAGUCAUGUCGCCUUCAUGCAAUAACGAGGAAACGACAACACACCCUGACUGAAACGCAUCUUCUUAUAUGAAACGGAACAUACGCUUGCCUACAUCAACCUGGCAGCAAAGCACACUGUAUUAUAUCAAACAUAACACACAUGGGAAUAUAGUACUUUUUUCAGUAUUUAGACGUUUCCACACGUGGACAAUACCGACAUGCCUUUUCAUAUGAAAGUUAAAAGAAUCAUUGUUUCACUGGUUUGAGGAAGAUAACUCAGGAGCUUGGGACUAUAAGGUUCUAUCUGCAAAAAGAUGAUUCUGAGAUAACUGGCUAAAGUUUGAGCCCUCAUUGGUUUGAAUGGUGUCAGCUAUUUUUAUAUUGUAUUCUUUUUAACUUAACAUGAAUUGGGGUAUUUAGAGUAUACUGUAUGUAGGUAGAGAACAUUGAACAGAACAAGGCUAUGUCAAUAACUCAAUUUAGACUAAAAUGCAGAUAGAACCUUAUAGUCCCAAGCGUUUGAACUACUCAGUGAUCAUUAUUAUCGAAUAGGUCAUUAUAAUCAAAUAACUGAAAACAAAUAUAUAUAUAUAUAUAUAUAAUUCCUGACUUGUUAACUCUUUAUAUUGUAAACAUCCAAACAAUAUCUGUUCAUAUAACAGGCCUAAAAAUAUGACAGAUGAGUCACUUUUAUUUGCCUUGCCAUUGUAAAAUAAUCGCAAAUAAUGUCAAAGACAAGUUAUUAUUCAUUACUUUAGCACAGGGAAAGAUUCAGCUGCCUAAAAACUGAUAAAAACAUUGAAAACAUUUUGUAUUUUUUCUUCUUCACAUUUCUAAAUGUAUACAAUACAAGCAUCGUAACUCUGUAUUUGCUUACAGUUUCAAAGAUGUUACAUUACUAUUAUAUCAAAUGCAGAACUAGUCAUUGGAUGCUAAACAUAUACUCCAAAGGAAACAUUUACAUAUUGGUAAUCAAAGGUAAAAUAGCAUGUUAAAACAUUUGACCGUGCUCUCCACAUUCAGGAGGUGUCAUUCAAUAGAACUUUCUUUGGGGGCGGUCCAUAUAUUUACAGGUGAACUUCACCCCUUUAAGGGUGGACUUGUCUUGAGGAAAGUGAAUGUAUGAUCCCAAAAACCGGGAGGAGAAAGACAUCCACCCUUCACGGUUGUGUACGAUGAACACAAUGAACAAGCAUUGAACUUUUGUUAUGUUCGCUUCAGCUGUGACCUUGCCUUGUAACAAGUGUGUGCUUAAUCAGUGAAGUGUUAGCCUGGUCCCAGAUCUAUUUGUGCUGUCUUGCCUCCUAUGGUCAUUAUCAUGCCGAACAUAGGAGCUAUAUAGCACAAACAGAUCUGGGACCAGGCUAGAGGAGUCUUUAUUUUGGUUUCGUACCUGAGGUAUGUAUAAUGUAUCACUUACAAACAGAACAAGGCAAUCUGACCUUGAGUGUUGGUUUGUCCUGUGGGUUUAGAAGCAAGGCUGUUUCCAGAGGAAACCUGCCAUACAGAGAGCUAGGUGGAGGUUCACUAGCCUGGUCAAAGAAAUGCGUUAGCACUGCAGACAGCUGCUGACAGAACUGCCGCUUUGGGCCAACAGUCACAUUACUGAAUGUGUCCAAUCCGGUUAGGGUACAGCACACGUUUUUCUCCUCAGGCCAAAAUGAAGAAUUACUCAACAGAAAUUGCUGGCUGUCAAUAAAGGAAUCGGAAAGUUAACAUAAUAGUAGGAAUAUUUUCUAUGAGAGGCACCCUGAGAUGCUUUGUAUGUAAUGUAUACAUGGGGUUUUGUAAUUCUACUUUAGUUUUUUAUAUUUUUAAAUAGUGCAACAUAUCAUGCAUUACCAUAAAAAAAAAGCAAAAAACGAAAUCAGGUAAAACAGGGUUGCGAUAAGAUAACCAAAGGAGAGAAAUACCAGAGAUAAGAGAAGACCAGAUAAAUACAAUAAUAGCAAACCUGUCAUACUUUGAAGUAGUAUAAAAAAAAAACAUUCAUACAUACACAUU